Molecule: small nucleolar RNA, 73 nt
Organism: Carcharodon carcharias (great white shark)
Lineage: Eukaryota; Metazoa; Chordata; Chondrichthyes; Lamniformes; Lamnidae
Product: small nucleolar RNA SNORD99
Exons: 1
Source: RefSeq, a predicted model, not a curated record
GCUGAUCAAUGAUGAUGAUUUUUAUAUUGUGGACUGUUGGAUGAUGCUUGCGGAUAUGGGGCUGAGAUCAGUG